RNAcentral lists this ribosomal RNA (497 nucleotides) under uncultured bacterium. RNAcentral describes it as "partial 16S ribosomal RNA". It matches the Rfam family "Bacterial small subunit ribosomal RNA", at positions 28 to 507 of the family's 1533-position model. The record is from RNAcentral.
GACGAACGCUGGCGGCGUGCCUAAUACAUGCAAGUUGAGCGCUGAAGGUUGGUACUUGUACCAACUGGAUGAGCAGCGAACGGGUGAGUAACGCGUGGGGAAUCUGCCUUUGAGCGGGGGACAACAUUUGGAAACGAAUGCUAAUACCGCAUAAAAACUUUAAACACAAGUUUUAAGUUUGAAAGAUGCAAUUGCAUCACUCAAAGAUGAUCCCGCGUUGUAUUAGCUAGUUGGUGAGGUAAAGGCUCACCAAGGCGAUGAUACAUAGCCGACCUGAGAGGGUGGUCGGCCAAAUUGGGACUGAGACACGGCCCAAAAUCCUACGGGAGGCAGCAGGAGGGAAUCUUCGGCAAUGGACGAAAGUCUGACCGAGCAACGCCGCGUGAGUGAAGAAGGGUUUCGGAUCGUAAAACUCUGUUGGUAGAGAAGAACGUUGGUGAGAGUGGAAAGCUCAUCAAGUGACGGUAACUACCCAGAAAGGGACGGCUAACUACGUG